RNAcentral lists this long non-coding RNA (240 nucleotides) under Elaeis guineensis (African oil palm). RNAcentral's name for it is "long non-coding RNA (EGUI_LNC037435)". Lineage: Eukaryota; Viridiplantae; Streptophyta; Magnoliopsida; Arecales; Arecaceae. The record is from RNAcentral.
GCGAUGAUAGAUAUCAUGAGUUCAAAAAAUAAAAAUAGUUCUUUUAUACAUGAAAAUAAUGCUGCAUAUAUUUGACUCUUAUCCUACAUCCACUGUGAUAUAGAUAUUAGGUUCAAAGCAUAGAAAUGGUUCUUCUGUAUAUAACGAUAACUUUGCAUGUAUUUGACUAUCAUCGUACAAUGGUAGAAAUCUCGUAUAUUGAAAUAAUCUAUUCGUUUCAUUGAAGUAAAAUCCAUGGGA